Molecule: long non-coding RNA, 1441 nt
Filed under: Ornithorhynchus anatinus (platypus)
Lineage: Eukaryota; Metazoa; Chordata; Mammalia; Monotremata; Ornithorhynchidae
Description: lncRNA (ENSOANG00000043545.1)
Source: RNAcentral
ACUAUAAAUACAAAAAUGCGGAGCAUUAUAUACACGACUUCAUGCUUGUAAGGUUAGAUUCAUCACUGCAAAAAGAUAAGAAAAACAAAAAACAGAGUAGUGAGAUUAGUGCCACACCGGAAGUUCCGCUUCAAAUUUACGUUUGUUAAAAAUCUGGUAGAACUUUGACUCCAGCUUUUUGCUACUCUAACCUACAGGAUGCUGUGGAGAUUGGAAUCCCCGAACGACACUCUCUGCAAAUGGGAUACGGGUGACUUCCCAUUGAGCCCAUGAGUCCGCUCAGCCUGAUGAUAAUCCAGUUGAUUUGCUCCAUGGAGACAAAGCAGACCUGCCCACUCAGGCCCGAAAAUGCCUGCGGGGUGGCCUAAUGGAAGCUAAUCAACCAGAGAACUGCUGGACAGAACAUAAAUUUGAAAGGGGUCUGCUGUCGAGACCAAAACGAUACAAGAGAGGAGAGGAGCAAGCGAGGAACAAAUAGUAACUUUGGAUGGAGAAGUAGGAGUGAGGGGAGACAGCGCCUGGAAAAGAUCUGCUUCUUUUGGAUGGCUUUUGGAACAUCUCAGAGGAGAACUUCUUCAGUGCAUUUCCCCAGCAGAUACAGGGUUAUUGAAAUGGGACAUUAAAGUGAACUGGAGAUGCAGCCGUAUAUUAUCAGUUAAUUUCUUAUUGACCUCACGCCAGAGGAUCACAAUGGUAAGUGAAUUCCCAGCUCAAUCUGUUGGGAAAAAAAAGCAAAAAACCUUUCUGCUUUGAAAAAAAAUUGCAACAGGAAAAAGCAAGUUGGAUCAGAUGAACUAUAAAAUGAAAAAUGAAGGGAAUAGGAGCAGCAGGGAAUUAGUAGGACACUAGAUAGGAGUCUAGGAAGUGGCCAUGAAGACUGAUUGACAAGGAAGAAGGAUCAGUGGGAUGGAGGAAUUACUGGAAGAAGGCAAGGUGUGGGGGGAAAGGAAGCAAGGAAUACACCUCUGGAAAGGAUAUAUGUAGAUGUGUCUAGAUGAAGGUCAACUUCAAUCAGUGUAGUCAGUCACCCAGUUUCAUACAACACAGAAAGAUGGAAUCAGUUUACAUUCCGGACAGGGUGCUGAUGUUUAAAAACAAACAAAUCAAGUGCAAGAGUACUAAACUAUUCACAUAGACAACCCAAAAGAAGACCUAAUAAUCAGUUAGACAUUCAAAUGAAACCAUAGUAGUGCGUUCAUGCUGACAUUGGUGGUUAAAUCUCCUUAUCAUGUCUCUCCUGUGUGCCAAAAAGAAACGUAACGAAGUGCUCAGAAUUCAAAUCUAUUUAAAUUAUUUUAAGGCAGGGAAAGUUCCUGUGUGGGCUGGGUUAUGACUAGGGAGUGGAAUCCAUAGAACAGAGUUUAGUAAAACCAGAUGUGGCCCUCUGAUGAGUGAAAGGGAGUAAACUGAGAGUAAAAUGCUCACAUGCAAGCAAUGAAUU